GAUGAAGAACGUAGCGAAAUGCGAUACGUAAUGUGAAUUGCAGAAUUCAGUGAAUCAUCGAAUCUUUGAACGCAUAUUGCGCUCUCUGGUAUUCCGGAGAGCAUGCUUGUUUGAGUAUCAGUAAACACCUCAACUUCCAUAUCUUUUUUGAAAUGGGAGUUGGACUUGAGUGAUCCCAACGCUUUUCCUCACCGAAAAGUGGCGGGUUACUUGAAAUGCAGGUGCAGCUGGACUUUUCUCUGAGCUAUAAGCAUAUCUAUUUAGUCUGCCUAAAAAACAGAUUAUUACCUUUGCUGCAGCUAAUAUAAAGGAGAUUAGUUCUUGUGCUGACUGAUGCAGGAUUCACAAAGACAGGCUUCGGCCGACUUUGUAAACUCGAUCUCAAAUCAAGUAAGACUACCCGCUGAACUUAAGCAUAUCAAUAAGCGGAGGA
Molecule: unclassified non-coding RNA, 433 nt
Filed under: soil metagenome
Description: partial contains 5.8S ribosomal RNA, internal transcribed spacer 2, and large subunit ribosomal RNA
Rfam family: 5.8S ribosomal RNA (bases 1-120)
Source: RNAcentral